RNAcentral lists this non-coding RNA (24 nucleotides) under Arabidopsis thaliana (thale cress). The record is from RNAcentral. Lineage: Eukaryota; Viridiplantae; Streptophyta; Magnoliopsida; Brassicales; Brassicaceae.
UUUGGAGGAAUUAUAGAACUACAA